This 253-nucleotide ribosomal RNA is filed under the name uncultured bacterium. Its description in RNAcentral is "partial 16S ribosomal RNA". It matches the Rfam family "Bacterial small subunit ribosomal RNA", at positions 524 to 776 of the family's 1533-position model. The record is from RNAcentral.
UACGGGUGGGGCAAGCGUUGUUCGGAAUUACUGGGCGUAAAGGGCUCGUAGGCGGCCAACUAAGUCAGACGUGAAAUCCCUCGGCUUAACCGGGGAACUGCGUCUGAUACUGGAUGGCUUGAGUUCGGGAGAGGGAUGCGGAAUUCCAGGUGUAGCGGUGAAAUGCGUAGAUAUCUGGAGGAACACCGGUGGCGAAGGCGGCAUCCUGGACCGACACUGACGCUGAGGAGCGAAAGCCAGGGGAGCAAACGGG